Molecule: ribosomal RNA, 253 nt
Filed under: uncultured bacterium
Lineage: Bacteria
Description: partial 16S ribosomal RNA
Rfam family: Bacterial small subunit ribosomal RNA
Source: RNAcentral
UACGUAGGGGGCAAGCGUUGUCCGGAUUUAUUGGGCGUAAAGAGCGUGUAGGCGGCCAUACAGGUCCGUUGUGAAAACUCGAGGCUUAACCUCGAGACGUCGAUGGAAACCGUAUGGCUAGAGUCCGGAAGAGGAGAGUGGAAUUCCUGGUGUAGCGGUGAAAUGCGCAGAUAUCAGGAAGAACACCCGUGGCGAAGGCGGCUCUCUGGGACGGUACUGACGCUGAGACGCGAAAGCGUCGGGAGCGAACAGG